AAUAAGUACAGUCUUGCAUUAUUCAUCUCCAACGUUUGACCGUUCGUCUUAUUUGAAAAAAAAUAUGAUUACUAUUUUUAUUGUUAUUAGAUGAUAAAACAUGAACAGUACUUUAUGUGUGACUAAUUUUUUUUAAAAUUUUUCGUAAAUUUUUUAAAUAAAACGGACGGUCAACCGUUGGACACGAAUUUCUACGGCUGCACUUAUU
Non-coding RNA from Oryza glaberrima (African rice), 208 nucleotides. NCBI's taxonomy places the organism in Eukaryota, Viridiplantae, Streptophyta, Magnoliopsida, Poales, Poaceae. The record is from Rfam.